GGGGUUGUAGCUCAGUUGGUAGAGCACCUGCUUUGCAAGCAGGGGGUCGUCAGUUCGAGCCUGAUCAGCUCCACCA
Molecule: transfer RNA, 76 nt
Filed under: Alphaproteobacteria bacterium
Lineage: Bacteria; Pseudomonadati; Pseudomonadota; Alphaproteobacteria
Also listed under: 2 other names
Description: tRNA-Ala
Rfam family: tRNA
About the family: Transfer RNA (tRNA) molecules are approximately 80 nucleotides in length. Their secondary structure includes four short double-helical elements and three loops (D, anti-codon, and T loops).
Source: RNAcentral